AUGAAGCGCAAGAACAAGGAGCAGAGGAGGGCAGAUGGAAUCACCGAUAGAGGCAGUGAUUCGCUGGAGACCAUGCGGCCGAACAAGAAGCAGAGGUUGGGCGGUGGCAGCGGUAGCGAUGAGGAGACCUCGCCCUACCUGGUGGUAGGUCAUGGGAGCGUGAGCCCUGCCUUCUCCGUGUUCAAGGUGGAACCCUACACCGACGGCGGCGGCGACACCCCGGUGAGCAUCCCGCGCCGCCUCGCCCGCCUCAAAUGCAAACACAACAUGUCUUUCGUCCCUUUGAGAUUGAAGGACCGCCGGUGGAUCGUCGGCGUCGGCGGCAGCUCAACCGAGAACUACUACGGCCCGGGGACCAUCAUUUUCGACACCGAGAAGCAGUUGGUGAUCCGGGGACCGGAACCUAAGUCGAUCAAGAGCCACCCGAUCCUGCUACCCAUCGACCAGAAGAUCUACGCCCUUUCCCGAAGCCCCUCAGUGAAGGGACCGCUCGAUUACUUGCCCUGGUUCGAGGUCCUCGAUCUCUCCCAGGCACAGGAAGUUGACGGCUGUCUAACCAACUGCAAGUGGAGCUCCCUGCAGCGGCCGCCCUUCUUUCCCUGGGAGCUCACCCCACGGCAGUACUUAUGUCCACCGAGGGUUGCCGUCGAGUCAUACGUCGCCGUGGGCUCCCACAUACUGGUUUCUGUGACCGGACGGGUGGGCACGUACGCUUUUGACACGAAGGGCUCGAAGAAGUGGGUGACGGUGGAUGACGAGAACAACCUGCCGUUCAGCGAUGGUGCCAUCCCGCACGGAGGUGGGCUCUUCCUCGGCUUAUCAAGCACCACAAAGGCCAUCACUGGAUACAAGAUUAAUAUCGGCACUAGUGGCUUCUGCUUGGUGACCUGUUGGAGUGUUGACGAAUCGCCGUAUCCCCCGUAUCACCGGGCGCACAUCAGGGUGAGGACGUACAGAACAGAUGAUUUUGUGGAGUCGGAGGGAAAAUGCUUAGUCGUCUCCAAGCAGUGGAUGCAGGUUUACAAGAUCCGCGAUUUGAUCCGGACACUAGAUGCGCCAUGUCUGGUUGGUGUGGUCUACAUAUGA
Molecule: ribosomal RNA, 1086 nt
Filed under: Triticum aestivum (bread wheat)
Lineage: Eukaryota; Viridiplantae; Streptophyta; Magnoliopsida; Poales; Poaceae
Description: partial small subunit ribosomal RNA
Source: RNAcentral